RNAcentral lists this ribosomal RNA (164 nucleotides) under Dendrobium chrysocrepis. RNAcentral describes it as "5.8S ribosomal RNA". It matches the Rfam family "5.8S ribosomal RNA". From Rfam's summary of the family: 5.8S ribosomal RNA (5.8S rRNA) is a component of the large subunit of the eukaryotic ribosome. It is transcribed by RNA polymerase I as part of the 45S precursor that also contains 18S and 28S rRNA. The record is from RNAcentral. Lineage: Eukaryota; Viridiplantae; Streptophyta; Magnoliopsida; Asparagales; Orchidaceae.
GGCACGACUCUCGGCAAUGGAUAUCUCGGCUCUCGCAUCGAUGAAGAGCGCAGCGAAAUGCGAUAUGUGGUGCGAAUUGCAGAAUCCCGCGAACCAUCGAGUCUUUGAACGCAAGUUGCGCCCGAGGCCAACCGGCCAAGGGCACGCCUGCCUGGGCGUCAAGC